RNAcentral lists this ribosomal RNA (464 nucleotides) under uncultured bacterium. RNAcentral's name for it is "partial 16S ribosomal RNA". It matches the Rfam family "Bacterial small subunit ribosomal RNA", at positions 28 to 507 of the family's 1533-position model. The record is from RNAcentral.
GACGAACGCUGGCGGCGUGCUUAACACAUGCAAGUCGAACGGAAAGGCCCAGCUUGCUGGGUGCUCGAGUGGCGAACGGGUGAGUAACACGUGGGUGAUCUGCCUCUAACUUCGGGAUAAGCUUGGGAAACUGGGUCUAAUACCGGAUAGGACAAUCGUUUAGUGUCGGUUGUGGAAAGUUUUUUCGGUUAGGGAUGAGCCCGCGGCCUAUCAGCUUGUUGGUGGGGUAAUGGCCUACCAAGGCGUCGACGGGUAGCCGGCCUGAGAGGGUGGACGGCCACAUUGGGACUGAGAUACGGCCCAGACUCCUACGGGAGGCAGCAGUGGGGAAUAUUGCACAAUGGGCGCAAGCCUGAUGCAGCGACGCCGCGUGGGGGAUGACGGCCUUCGGGCUGUAAACCUCUUUCGACAGGGACGAAGCUUUGGUGACGGUACCUGUAUAAGAAGCACCGGCUAACUACGUG